This 253-nucleotide ribosomal RNA is filed under the name uncultured bacterium. RNAcentral's name for it is "partial 16S ribosomal RNA". It matches the Rfam family "Bacterial small subunit ribosomal RNA", at positions 524 to 776 of the family's 1533-position model. The record is from RNAcentral.
UACGUAGGGUGCGAGCGUUGCCCGGAUUUAUUGGGCGUAAAGGGCGCGCAGGCGGCCACGCACGUCCGUUGUGAAAUCGCCCGGCUCAACUGGGCGGGGUCAGCGGAUACGGCGUGGCUGGAGCAAGCUAGGGGGCAAUGGAAUUCCCGGUGUAGUGGUGGAAUGCGUAGAUAUCGGGAGGAACACCAGUGGCGAAGGCGGUUGCCUGGAGCUUUGCUGACGCUGAGGCGCGAAAGCGUGGGGAGCAAACGGG